AAUGCAUCGGGACCUACCUAGACGUGGGGGAUUACGUAGGGAAACUUACGCUAAUACCGCAUACGUCCUACGGGAGAAAGCAGGGGACCUUCGGGCCUUGCGCGGUUAGACGGACCGAUGUUCGAUUAGCUUGUUGGUGAGGUAAUGGCUCACCAAGGCGACGAUCGAUAGCUGGUCUGAGAGGAUGAUCAGCCACACUGGAACUGAGACACGGUCCAGACUCCUACGGGAGGCAGCAGUGGGGAAUAUUGGACAAUGGGCGCAAGCCUGAUCCAGCAAUGCCGCGUGUGUGAAGAAGGCCUUCGGGUUGUAAAGCACUUUUAUCAGGAGCGAAAUACUACCGGCUAAUAUCCGGUGGGGCUGACGGUACCUGAGGAAUAAGCACCGGCUAAACUUCGUGCCAGCAGCCGCGGUAAUACGAAGGGUGCAAGCGUUAAUCGGAAUUACUGGGCGUAAAGCGUGCGUAGGCGGCUUGUUAAGUCUGCUGUGAAAUCCCCGGGCUCAACCUGGGAAUGGCAGUGGAUACUGGCAAGCUAGAGUGUGUCAGAGGAUGGUGGAAUUCCCGGUGUAGCGGUGAAAUGCGUAGAGAUCGGGAGGAACAUCAGUGGCGAAGGCGGCCAUCUGGGACAACACUGACGC
Molecule: ribosomal RNA, 639 nt
Filed under: uncultured Frateuria sp.
Lineage: Bacteria; Pseudomonadati; Pseudomonadota; Gammaproteobacteria; Lysobacterales; Rhodanobacteraceae
Description: bacterial SSU rRNA
Rfam family: Bacterial small subunit ribosomal RNA
Source: RNAcentral